Molecule: ribosomal RNA, 392 nt
Filed under: uncultured bacterium
Lineage: Bacteria
Description: partial 16S ribosomal RNA
Rfam family: Bacterial small subunit ribosomal RNA
Source: RNAcentral
AUACGUAUGUCGCAAGCGUUAUCCGGAUUUAUUGGGCGUAAAGCGCGUCUAGGCGGCUUAGUAAGUCUGAUGUGAAAAUGCGGGGCUCAACCCCGUAUUGCGUUGGAAACUGCUAAACUAGAGUACUGGAGAGGUAGGCGGAACUACAAGUGUAGAGGUGAAAUUCGUAGAUAUUUGUAGGAAUGCCGAUGGGGAAGCCAGCCUACUGGACAGAUACUGACGCUAAAGCGCGAAAGCGUGGGUAGCAAACAGGAUUAGAUACCCUGGUAGUCCACGCCGUAAACGGUGAUUACUAGGUGUUGGGGGUCGAACCUCAGCGCCCAAGCUAACGCGAUAAGUAAUCCGCCUGGGGAGUACGUACGCAAGUAUGAAACUCAAAUGAAUUGACGGGG